UACGUAGGGUGCGAGCGUUGUUCGGAAUUACUGGGCGUAAAGCGCACGUAGGCGGGUAUUUAAGUCAGGGGUGAAAUCCCAGAGCUCAACUCUGGAACUGCCUUUGAUACUGGGUACCUAGAGUAUGGAAGAGGUAAGUGGAAUUCCGAGUGUAGAGGUGAAAUUCGUAGAUAUUCGGAGGAACACCAGUGGCGAAGGCGGCUUACUGGUCCAUUACUGACGCUGAGGUGCGAAAGCGUGGGGAGCAAACAGG
RNAcentral lists this ribosomal RNA (253 nucleotides) under uncultured bacterium. RNAcentral describes it as "partial 16S ribosomal RNA". It matches the Rfam family "Bacterial small subunit ribosomal RNA", at positions 524 to 776 of the family's 1533-position model. The record is from RNAcentral.